Molecule: ribosomal RNA, 467 nt
Filed under: uncultured bacterium
Lineage: Bacteria
Description: partial 16S ribosomal RNA
Rfam family: Bacterial small subunit ribosomal RNA
Source: RNAcentral
GACGAACGCUGGCGGCGUGCUUAACACAUGCAAGUCGAACGGAAAGGCCCUGCUUUUGUGGGGUGCUCGAGUGGCGAACGGGUGAGUAACACGUGAGUAACCUGCCCUUGACUUUGGGAUAACUUCAGGAAACUGGGGCUAAUACCGGAUAGGAGCUCCUGCUGAAUGGUGGGGGUUGGAAAGUUUCGGCGGUUGGGGAUGGACUCGCGGCUUAUCAGCUUGUUGGUGGGGUAGUGGCUUACCAAGGCUUUGACGGGUAGCCGGCCUGAGAGGGUGACCGGCCACAUUGGGACUGAGAUACGGCCCAGACUCCUACGGGAGGCAGCAGUGGGGAAUAUUGCACAAUGGGCGGAAGCCUGAUGCAGCAACGCCGCGUGCGGGAUGACGGCCUUCGGGUUGUAAACCGCUUUCGCCUGUGACGAAGCGUGAGUGACGGUAAUGGGUAAAGAAGCACCGGCUAACUACGU